GACGAACGCUGGCGGCGUGCUUAACACAUGCAAGUCGAACGGAGAGGCCCCUUUGGGGGUACUCGAGUGGCGAACGGGUGAGUAACACGUGAGUAACCUGCCCUUGACUGCGGGAUAACUGCAGGAAAGUGGGGCUAAUACCGGAGAGGAAUCCUUUCUGCAUGGUGGGGGUUGGAAAGUUUCGGCGGGUUUGGAUGGACUCGCGGCUUAGCAGCUUGUUGGUGGGGUUGUGGCGUAACGAGGCGGUGAGGGGUAGGCGGGCUGGGAGGGCUAACGGCCAACAUGGGACCGAGGAUAGGCCCCGGCCCCUACGGGAGGGAACAGGGGGGAAGAUUGCCACAGGGGCGGCAGCCCGAUGCAGCAGCGCCGCGGUCGGGAUGACGGCCUUCGGGUUGUAAACCCCCUUCAGCAGGGGAGAAGCUUGUGGUGACGGUACCUACAGAAGAAGCACCGGCUAACUACGUG
This 465-nucleotide ribosomal RNA is filed under the name uncultured bacterium. RNAcentral's name for it is "partial 16S ribosomal RNA". It matches the Rfam family "Bacterial small subunit ribosomal RNA", at positions 28 to 507 of the family's 1533-position model. The record is from RNAcentral.